AUUGAACGCUAGCGGGAUGCCUUACACAUGCAAGUCGAACGGCAGCGGGAAGUAGCUUGCUACUUUGCCGGCGAGUGGCGAACGGGUGAGUAAUGUAUCGGAACGUGCCCAGUAGCGGGGGAUAACUACGCGAAAGCGUGGCUAAUACCGCAUACGCCUACGGGGAAGGGGGGACGUCUUCGGAGCCUCUCACUAUUGGAGGCGGUCCGGAUAAUCGGAUUAGCUAGUUGGUGGGUAAAGG
This 241-nucleotide ribosomal RNA is filed under the name uncultured bacterium. RNAcentral's name for it is "partial 16S ribosomal RNA". It matches the Rfam family "Bacterial small subunit ribosomal RNA", at positions 30 to 263 of the family's 1533-position model. The record is from RNAcentral.